UACGUAGGGUGCAAGCGUCGUCCGGAAUUAUUGGGCGUAAAGAUCUCGUAGGCGGUCUGUCGCGUCGGCUGUGAAAACCCGGAGCUCAACUCCGGGCCUGCAGUCGAUACGGGCAGACUGGAGUUCGGCAGGGGAGACUGGAAUUCCUGGUGUAGCGGUGAAAUGCGCAGAUAUCAGGAGGAACACCGGUGGCGAAGGCGGGUCUCUGGGCCGAUACUGACGCUGAGGAGCGAAAGCGUGGGGAGCGAACAGG
Molecule: ribosomal RNA, 253 nt
Filed under: uncultured bacterium
Lineage: Bacteria
Description: partial 16S ribosomal RNA
Rfam family: Bacterial small subunit ribosomal RNA
Source: RNAcentral